GCCGGGCACAAUGGUGUGUGCCUAUAAUCCCAGAGACUUGGGAGGCUGAGGCAGGAGGAUUGCAAAUUACAAGGUAGCCUGGGCAAUUUAGUGAAGCCUGUCUCAA
Molecule: small RNA, 106 nt
Filed under: Marmota monax (woodchuck)
Lineage: Eukaryota; Metazoa; Chordata; Mammalia; Rodentia; Sciuridae
Source: RNAcentral